GGCUUGCGAUUUUUCGGAAAUCCCAAUUUUUUGUAAUCCAUUUAUUCAUAGCCUGAAUAGGCCGAAACACUUCCAACAGGAUGGAGAUUGAUGUAUAUGCCACCCACCAGCGUUUUUUAGAAAAGUCAGUGGACAUGGCUGUUUCGAUAUUUUACUGGGCUAUAGGCUUACCUUUUUUCGGAAAUCCCAAUUUCUUGUAAUCCAUUUAUUCAUCUCCUGAACAGGUGGAAACACAUCCAGUAGGAUGGAAAUUGA
Molecule: long non-coding RNA, 255 nt
Filed under: Dermacentor andersoni
Lineage: Eukaryota; Metazoa; Arthropoda; Arachnida; Ixodida; Ixodidae
Description: uncharacterized LOC126522194
Source: RNAcentral